CCUACGGGUGGCAGCAGUGGGGAAUAUUGCGCAAUGGACGAAAGCCUGACGCAGCGACGCAGCGUGAGGGAUGAAGGUCUUCGGAUCGUAAACCUCUGUCAGCAGGGAAGUACGGUCACUGUGCUAAUCAGCAGUGAAUUGACGGUACCUGCAAAGGAAGCACCGGCUAACUCCGUGCCAGCAGCCGCGGUAAUACGGAGGGUGCGAGCGUUAAUCGGAAUUACUGGGCGUAAAGCGAUCGUAGGCGGUAUGUCAAGUCAAGGGUGAAAUCCCCGCGCUCAACGUGGGAACUGCCUUUGAAACUGGCAAACUGGAGUGUGGGAGAGGAUAGUGGAAUUCCAGGUGUAGGAGUGAAAUGCGUAGAUAUCUGGAGGAACAUCGGUGGCGAAGGCGACUAUCUGGCACAUAACUGACGCUGAGGAGCGAAAGCGUGGGUAGCAAACAGGAUUAGAUACCCGAGUAGUC
RNAcentral lists this ribosomal RNA (465 nucleotides) under uncultured bacterium. Its description in RNAcentral is "partial 16S ribosomal RNA". It matches the Rfam family "Bacterial small subunit ribosomal RNA", at positions 338 to 795 of the family's 1533-position model. The record is from RNAcentral.